CCACUACAGUGUUGCGGGCUUUCAGGCUUCAGGAACUCCAUCUCCAAUCGGCACGAACCAUCAGCAAAGGCAGCGAACUCCAGCGGUAAACGACAGCUAAUAGCGGCGAACCAUUGGCUAAGCUGCGGCGAAACCAGCGGCGAUUAAGAUGGCUGAUGAAAGUCAAGUUAGUGCGGCUGGUUCAACUUAUAGUGUACCUGAUAUUAUCAAUGAAUCCAAUGACAACUCAGUUGACACCGUGGAUCCAAAAAAAAGAAAUGGAAAGUAGGUCUACUGCUUGGAAAUAGCAUUUCUGCAAGGUGUGGCAUCGGGAUGUGCGUUUAGCACCGGUGGUCGUAUUCUUGAUCUAUUUAGAAGUUCAUUGACUUCUGAAUGUGGGCAAUGCCUUAUUUGUAUUCAAGAUUGACUUAGACAAGAGCCUAGUCCUAUUUGUGUUGAAGAAAAUUUGGAGUUCCUUUGAGAAAAUUGAACUUGGUUGAAGUGAUGCCUCAUAAAUCUAAAGUUUAUCCACCUAUUAGGGAACAUUAUGAGGUGGUUCAAGACAAUGAAGAAGUGUGUAAAGCAAGGUGCUUGAAGUGUGGAUUAAUCCUUAAUUUUCAUCCGAAAACAUGUGGCACAUCUUCUUUGCAUAAGCAUUUCAAGAAGUGUUUUAUGAAAGAUGAAGAGAAGAUGAUUCGUAUUUAAACACUUGAGAUGAUUUGUAUUUAAAUACUUGUUGUUACUAUUAUUUUAUUUAUCUGGGGGCUGCUACUGGUUUAGGCUUUUUAGCCUUUUAGACUACUACUAUUUUUGUAUUUUGUGUAGCUACAGUGGUACUAUUUUCCAGUUUUCCUUUUGCAGUAAUUAUUAAUUUGCUUUUACUGUGACGGCUCCUAGUUUCAUACCAUUAUGAAUGGAUGAUUUACAGAA
Solanum dulcamara is the source of this 909-nucleotide long non-coding RNA. RefSeq lists it as uncharacterized. Lineage: Eukaryota; Viridiplantae; Streptophyta; Magnoliopsida; Solanales; Solanaceae. The transcript is spliced from 4 exons. The record is from RefSeq and is a predicted model, not a curated record.